This is a long non-coding RNA of Macadamia integrifolia, 1320 nucleotides long. RefSeq lists it as uncharacterized. The record is from RefSeq and is a predicted model, not a curated record. The transcript has 2 exons. NCBI's taxonomy places the organism in Eukaryota, Viridiplantae, Streptophyta, Magnoliopsida, Proteales, Proteaceae.
AGUUCAUGAAGUUGAGAAACAUGACUUGGCCCCUAUUUGAAGAACUUAAGGAAAUUGUGGGUGAAGAUCACGCCACAGGGGAAUUUUCUCAAUCAAACAGAGAUUCUUUCCAUCAGAGAAAAGAUAGGGAACAACUUCUGAAGAACCUAGAUCAUACAUCCAUCCAGUGGAUCAUAUGGAGAUUGAUGAGACCGAUGGCAGCGAAGAUUUAAACACCCAAGUCCCAAUGUCCACAUCGCAUUCUAGAGAGGGGAGUGGAGUUGGUGCACCUCGAGAGAGAAAGACAACAAAGGUAGCAUUGGAUGGCCAAAUAUCUAUUGUUGCCUCUUCUAUAGAUCAUUUGGCAACUGUGGUUCGAGAGAGGCAUGUCUCUCCUAAAGCAUUGUUUGAUGCUAUACUAGAAGUAGAUGGAUUUAGCAAAGAUACACUUGAUAUCGUCUUUGAUUUCCUCAUAGUAAAUGAACCUCAAGCAAAGGCAUUUUUAGUUGGGGAUGUGGAGCAACGGAGGAGGUGGGUCUUGAAGUUUCUUGAUCAAGGCCAUUGAUGUGGUAAGAUAAAUACAAUCAUUAGCUGUUUCAUUCAGGUUUAGGAUGCGAUUGGUUGUCACUUGGAACAGAUUGACCUGUUUUUAGUUGCCAUAGCAUUAGAGUUCAUAUUGUUUACACCGAAAUGAACACAUAUCCAUUUAUCAAUUAUAUUUGGAUGAGUAAUAGAAUUUGUUUCAUUCCCUAAAAAUGUAGAAUGAAUUACUUUUUACUAAACUACUAGCAUGUCUGAGAUGAUUCUAUUUGCAAUGAGAAAUUCGAAUUCAAAUUCUCAUUUUCAGAGUGGCAAAAGCUGUCUCACCUUAAGUUAAGAAUCAUGGAUAAAGAAAUGUUCACUAAGGGUGGUUUUGUUGGUGAAACCUUGUACUUAUGUCCUUUAACUUGAACAACGUUUAAAUUCUACUUUUUUAUGAUCAGAAAGAGUUCUCACAGUACAUGAAAAUUGUCUUUGUAAUUUAAUAGCUAAAUCCUUGCAUUUCUUAAGUGCCUUCCUCUUCUUUUUCUUCUUCUUCUUUUGUUUGUUUGUUCUAUGCAGAGUUCAUCUAGGAGGGAUACUAAUUGAAGGAAAUGACAAGGGAUUCAUAGAAGUGCAACCAAGUUUAUAUAAUGUUGUGCUUGAAGAUGAUCCUUACAAGGGCGAGAUCAAAAUUGGCUUUAAAUUCAAGAAAAUGUAAAAGUGCAAAAGGAAACAAGAGUAUGUACUGAGUUGGACAAGUAAAUACCGGAGUCAAUAUAUGGAACACUCUUUAGUUUCAGGAGAAUUCCUUGGUUGAAA